This 3698-nucleotide long non-coding RNA is filed under the name Salvia miltiorrhiza (redroot sage). RNAcentral describes it as "long non-coding RNA (SMIL_LNC005199)". The record is from RNAcentral. Lineage: Eukaryota; Viridiplantae; Streptophyta; Magnoliopsida; Lamiales; Lamiaceae.
AACUUUCGCCCCUCUCAUCUCUCUCUCUUUUUUCUCUCUCAACCACCAUUGAUGAUCAUCUCCAAGCUCCAAAAAUCAUUUCCAUAGUUAGAUCUUUCCUAAAUCAAGCUCUACAUCUCAAUCCCUUUGAAUCAAGCGCAAGAUUGAUGGAGUUUCAAGCUUGAAGUUAGAGAGAAGAAUUUUUAUUUCUUUCAAAAUCAUUGAGUAAGUGUUGAAAUCACUUAGAUCUAAGCUUGUUGAUGUUUGAUAUGAGUAUAUUUGAAUGAAUCUAGCAAGAUAACAUCACCCUUGUUUGUUCUAUAAUUUUCGAAAAUUUAGGGGUUCUCCCCUUCAAAAAAAUUUCUUAUUCUUUUCUUAAUUUGGCAUGAGAUCUAUGCUUAUUGAGGUGUUUUGAGAUGAUUUCUAUAUGUAUUGAGAGGCUUUUCCAUGAGAUAUGAUUUUUCAUUUAGGUUAGUUUGUCUAAAAUAAGAAAUUCUUGAAUCUAUGGAUUAAAUGAUGAAUUGAUGAUGAAUAUGAGCUUAUGAGAUGACUAAUAUGAUAUUUGAUGGAGUAGAUUGAUGAUUGAAGUUGAUGGUCAAUUUUCGGUGAGAGUUAGUUUGAUGUGAUUUGGGUAAAACUUAUUCUAUGGUUUAAUUGAUUAAUUGAUUGGUUAAUAAUGCAAUUAGGUGAUUCAAUUUGAUUAAUCUAAGGUUGGAUUAAUGAUUUAUACAUGUUUACAAAUUUUCAAAAAGUUUAGUUUGUUAAAAAUUGGGACUUUGUGAUCUAUGUGUUAAUUGAUUAAAUUGGCUAAGUUUAAUUGUUAUUAAGCAUGAUAGAAAUGAUAAUUAGGGAUCAAUUUGGUUAUUGUCAAGAAACCCUAAAAUUGGUUAAGUUUAGUUUACUAAUAAUUGGGAACUUUUGAUUAACAAGAUAAAUACUUGAAUUGAUGAUGUUUAUAUGUUAGUUAGACUACUAGCAAGGAGAAAGCAUGAUUAAUUUAGUUAAUGAUGUUGAUUUGUGAAAAAUUCUCGACUUUAGUUUGCGUGCAUACAUGAGAUCUUGUAUAUAAGAUGAGUUAUGAGCCAAGCAUGUCUAUAUGUGGCUAAUUGAUGAUAAGUUGAGCUUAUAUAUGCGAUAUGAGACGAAACGGACCAACCCCUGAAAACCUAUAUGUUGGCGAAUGUGACGAGUAUAAGGGGAAGUCGAUGUUUGAUUUUUUUUUCAUAUGUUAUAUGAUCAUGUAUUUAUGUUAUUGUGUAUUAUGUGAGCUUAAUUUGAAUUUUUGAGAAUUUUGCAUCGAAGAAGUCCGGAGUUUAGGUAUAAUUGCUUUUAUGUUCAAGUUUGGAGUCAUUUUAUGACCUUUUCUACCUACUGUUUCGUUGGGUUCUUGAUAUCCAAAGACCUUAAAAAGUUUAUGGUAAGAUUAUAUGAGAGUGUUGAGCAUACUGAUAAGAUUUCAAGUCAAGUGGACUUCGUUUACUAUUUUUAUAAAAUUAGAAAACUAAAACUGCUACUUUCUGCCGAAAUGUUCGGUGAGUAGCCAAUAAAGUCACCAUUUCCAGUAGGGUAGUGAUAUUUGAACACCAGGUGUCAUGGACACUGGUAAAAAACCGGUUUUUUUGGGGUUUGGAUAGUGGGCCGAUUUUUUAAGGUUUAUUGUUUUACUGUUUUAGCCCUUGAUUUUUUUCCUAUAUAUUUUAUCCGAAAAUUGUUUUCUGUUUCCUUAUUUUUUCGGCUUUGUUGUUUCCUUUUUUUCGUGUGUAUUUUUUUUUCUGUUUCUUUUUUUUCGGUUUUAUUGUUUCCUUUUUUUCCGUAUAUUUUUGUUUCCUUUUUUUCGUAUACUUUUGUUUUCUGUUUCCUCUUUUUUUCGGUAUUUUUGCUUCCUUUUUUUUGUAUAUUUUUGUUUCUUUAUUUUUUUCGUAUAUUUCGCUCAAGAUAUUGAUGAAGCUUCAAAUUGGUUGCUAAUUUUAUGGGAUUAUAUUUAUCCAAGAUCAAAUCUUAUCAAAACUUAGAUGAGAUUUCGGCUCCUCCCAAAAUCUUUAAAAAACAAGUAAAUCUCGGCCCCUCUCAUAUCCAAUUCCUUCACCAAAAUAAUGCACUUCAAAUGUUUGUUAAAAGUUGUGAACGAAUUUUUUUUAAAAAAAUUAUAAGAUAUUUUUUAAGCUUCAAAUUGGUUGCUAAUUUAAUGGGAUUACAUUUAUCCAAGAUCAAAUCUUAUCAAAACUUAGUUGAGAUUUCGGCCCCUCCAAAAAUCUUUAAACAAACAAAUCUCGGCCCAUCCUAUUGAGGGAUCGAUUUUUUUCUUUAAAAAUGUAGGAGCAAAUUUUUGGAUUACAGCUCCACAUUCCUUGUUUUCGUUUUCACUCUCUUUCUAUCGAUAUCUCUCGGUCUCCUCUCAUUCUGUCGAUCUCUCUCGGUCUCCUCUCAUUCUGUCGAUCUCUCUCUGUCUCUCUGUUUGUCAUCAUGUCGACCCCAUCAGAAUUGUUGGCUCCUCAGAAAAUUGUCAUCAAAACCGGCGAGUUCUCAUACGAAGAGUAUGAUGGUCUUAUCGUUUGGCAAUUUCCCGAUGAGGCGGCGAUGUUGGCGAUUCUUUUGGAUCAACGGUCUAAGCAUGACUUGUCCGAUAAGCAUGCAUGCAUGCGAGCCAUUCUGUCUACUGAAGCCAUUCUGUCUACUCAAGCUACUUUCCGAACGUACAAUGCUCUCGACAUUGUACGUAAGCUUUACAAAUUCUUGAAGACAUAUAACGAGCAUGUCGCUAUCAUGGCACGUAGUUAGUAUUACGCAUAUGGGGUUAUUGGUUUGGAGUGGUAUCACGAUGAAAGGCUGAACAUGUUUGUCUCCACGAAACGGCAUCACUUUUGGUUUAUAUUCAUGGAGUUAUUCGGGAGACAUGGAAUGGGCAAUACUGACUUCGAGUUUCUUGCUCGUGUUGCGUCGGGUGUUGAUGAUGCAACAACGGGUUUCAAGAGAGAUGUUACCACUAUUGUGAUAAAGAAAGAAGAGCAAGAUUAGUUUUUUUUUUUGGACCUUUUGUUCGGUUAUUUUUUAGUGUUUUUUUUGGCCAAAUUUAUUUUAUGUUUUAAUUCUAGUUAGUCUUUACUUUUCGAUGUAUUUUUUUAUUUGGAACUUUAUUAAGUUAUUUUAUGAUAGUUUCGUUAAUUUAGUUUCAUGAUAUGUUAAUUGAAAGAGGUUGCCAUUUAUUUGAUAAAGAAAGAAGAGCCCUGGUUUUGCGAUGAAGAAUUGAAGAUAUGUGGGAAUUAUAGAAAAAUGCAGAAUCUUGAUAUGUUUAGAACAUCGCCUCACAUUGACAUCACUGAUCACCAUUUGAAUUUGCUGAUGGAAUUUGAAUCUAAAUUUUGUUCUCUAUUCUGUUUGAAUUUUGUCUGGUUAAUCAUAGAUUAAAAUGAAAUUUGUAUAGUGUUACAUGCUGAUGAGGAUUUGCCUUUAAGUCGCAAGCUUGAUUGGUUGCAUACUUGGAACUCAUAUUAAGGAUAGAUAAUUUGUGCUUGAGGAUGUUAAUGUAUUGCAGUCAUGGUGUGACAGUGUUCCUAAGUAAUUUGCUUUCUUUGUCAGAUGUUAAUGUUUGUCAAUCACCCUUCACCAGAUAUAGAUUGAACCUAGAAUGAGCGUGCCUCGCGAACUGCUUGAACUUUGUCUCUUAACUGUAAUGUAUCUAUUUUUGUUUUAUAGAUGCGAUAAUGAAAAUCGGAAAAGUG